UUAGUCAAUUGUUUAAAUCUUGGCUUAGUUGUAUAACAUGGCAAAAGCAUGAGGACUAAAAGACUUUAGCCAAUUCUUGGCUCCCUUUGGGCUUUGUAACGUGGCAAGUGGUGGCUUAUCAUGUCAAUUAGAUAAAUGGUGGCUUGCAUGCUUUUAACAUGGGAAUUAAAACAAGUGGCAGCUUGUAGCUUGGGAAUUGGAAUAAAUGGCAGCUUGCAAGAUUUUAGCAUGCAAAAUAAUGGGAGUUGCAUAAGCCUAUAAGCAGGCGAAUUCUACUACCAUGUUAAUAAAGGGAAGAAAAAGAAAGGACGGCAUACCUUAUAAUGUUGAGAAGAUAAAAAGAUCGGUCUUGCUUGCUUAUGGAAUAUCCGUAAUGCUUAAGUUGAUUUUGAUGUGCAGAAAAUUAACAAGGGAA
Molecule: long non-coding RNA, 415 nt
Filed under: Theobroma cacao (cacao)
Lineage: Eukaryota; Viridiplantae; Streptophyta; Magnoliopsida; Malvales; Malvaceae
Description: long non-coding RNA (TCAC_LNC001532)
Source: RNAcentral